AAUGAACGCUGGCGGCAGGCCUAACACAUGCAAGUCGAACGGAUCCUUCGGGAUUAGUGGCGGACGGGUGAGUAACGCGUGGGAACAUACCCUUUGGUACGGAAUAGCCUCGGGAAACUGGGAGUAAUACCGUAUGUGGUCGAGAGACGAAAGAUUUAUCGCCAAAGGAUUGGCCCGCGUUGGAUUAGGUAGUUGGGGGGGUAAUGGCCUACCAAGCCGACGAUCCAUAGCUGGUUUGAGAGGAUGAUCAGCCACACUGGGACUGAGACACGGCCCAGACUCCUACGCGAGGCAGCAGUGGGGAAUUUUAGACAAUGGGGGAAACCCUGAUCUAGCCAUGCCGCGUGAUCGAUGAAGGCCUUAGGGUUGUAAAGAUCUUUCAGGUGGGAAGAUAAUGACUGUACCACCAGAAGAAGCCCCGGCUAACUCCGUGCCAGCCGCCGCAGUAA
RNAcentral lists this ribosomal RNA (449 nucleotides) under uncultured bacterium. RNAcentral describes it as "partial 16S ribosomal RNA". It matches the Rfam family "Bacterial small subunit ribosomal RNA", at positions 29 to 523 of the family's 1533-position model. The record is from RNAcentral.